UCAAACUUGGUCAUUUAGAGGAAGUAAAAGUCGUAACAAGGUCUCCGUAGGUGAACCUGCGGAGGGAUCAUUACCGAGCUCGCGCCCCCUGGGCCGACCUCCCGCCCUCUGUCAUCGCUACGCCUGUUGCCUCGGCGGGCGCCGGGGCCCGCCCGCGCGCGCCCGCCAGAGGCCCCCAGACCCUGGAUGCCAGCGUCGUCCGAGUGUCAUGCAAUCGUUAAAACUUUCAACAACGGAUCUCUUGGUUCUGGCAUCGAUGAAGAACGCAGC
This 270-nucleotide unclassified non-coding RNA is filed under the name uncultured fungus. Its description in RNAcentral is "partial contains small subunit ribosomal RNA, internal transcribed spacer 1, and 5.8S ribosomal RNA". The stretch from base 1 to 73 matches the Rfam family "Eukaryotic small subunit ribosomal RNA", at positions 1759 to 1831 of the family's 1831-position model. The record is from RNAcentral. Lineage: Eukaryota; Fungi.